RNAcentral lists this ribosomal RNA (832 nucleotides) under uncultured Gemmatimonadota bacterium. RNAcentral describes it as "bacterial SSU rRNA". It matches the Rfam family "Bacterial small subunit ribosomal RNA", at positions 60 to 895 of the family's 1533-position model. The record is from RNAcentral. Lineage: Bacteria; Pseudomonadati; Gemmatimonadota.
AGUCAAGGGGGCCCGCAAGGGCAACCGGCGAACGGGUGCGUAACACGUGAGCAACCUGCCUAGGUGUGGGGGAUAGCCGGCCCAACGGCCGGGUAAUACCGCAUAGGUUCUUCUGGGGGAGUCCUUGGGAGAGCAAACCUGUCGCAAGACGGGGCAUUUAGAGGGGCUCGCGGCCUAUCAGCUAGUUGGCGGGGUAAUGGCCCACCAAGGCGACGACGGGUAGCUGGUCUGAGAGGAUGGCCAGCCACAUUGGGACUGAGAAACGGCCCAGACUCCUACGGGAGGCAGCAGUGGGGAAUCUUGCGCAAUGGCCGAAAGGCUGACGCAGCGACGCCGCGUGUGGGAGGAAGCUCUUCGGGGUGUAAACCACUGUUGCCCGGGACGAACACACCUAUUCGUGGGUGCUGACGGUACCGGGUGAGGAAGCACCGGCUAACUCUGUGCCAGCAGCCGCGGUAAUACAGAGGGUGCGAGCGUUGUCCGGAAUCACUGGGCGUAAAGGGCGCGUAGGCGGCGCGGUAAGCGUGCGGUGAAAGCCCGGGGCUCAACCCCGGGUCGGCCGUGCGGACUGCCGGGCUGGAGCACUGUAGAGGCAGGUGGAAUUCCGGGUGUAGCGGUGGAAUGCGUAGAGAUCCGGAAGAACACCGGUGGCGAAGGCGGCCUGCUGGGCAGUAGCUGACGCUGAAGCGCGACAGCGUGGGGAGCAAACAGGAUUAGAUACCCUGGUAGUCCACGCCGUAAACGAUGGGCACUAGGUGCCUGGGGGAGCGACCCCCCGGGUGCCGGCGCUAACGCAUUAAGUGCCCCGCCUGGGGAGUACGGCCGCAAGGCU